GUUUCACAAAUGAGCAGAUCAAGGGUUCUCCAGGAAGACCUGCCAUGCAUAGACACCUCUACAUUAGUGCAGUCAAGGAUCAGGAAACCCCUUUCUAAUUUGAGCAACACACAUAUGAAGGAAUAAUCCGAUGUACUGCUGCAAAGUGUCUUCAGCCAAUUUAGACAAGAACAACUCUUAAAUUAUUUUUGGUGAAGAAAGUUAAUCACUGAACAAUUUGAGGUGAAUGGAAGUUCGCUAUUCCUCUACAACCUUUUACCAGGUUAUAAUGAAAUUGAGUCCACUGAGGAAGGAAAAAGUUAGUUUCACUUGACUAAGUUCCCACAUGGAUUAAGCAGCAGACCCAAGACCAAGACCAGAACGCAAUCCACUCUUUGAUGAGAACAUACUUGGAUAUGACCUAUGCUAUUUUGAAUGAAAUUUAGCAAGGAAGAACUGUCCAUCAAUCAUUUUAACCAAGUUCACCUUUUGUUGCCAUUUAAGUUUAAUUUUGUCCCAGGAAAUUCAUAGUGAGUGAUUGUGAUUACAUUUUCCUCAUUUUCAUGCCUCUGACAUUCUUGUUGAAGAUGCUAAUCUUGUAUAAAGCUGUCUUUGGAGUUGAUGAUGCUGACACUUCUCACUCCUAUGGGAAAUGGAGAGAUGUGGUGCAUAAAAUAGAAUAAAAUGUAUUAGAGCAAAAUAAAACUGCUAAUAAGAGUAAUCACUGUAAUAGAUUUUAAAAUCAUUUUAAAUCUAGUUUUAAU
Homo sapiens (human) is the source of this 743-nucleotide long non-coding RNA. The record is from Ensembl. Lineage: Eukaryota; Metazoa; Chordata; Mammalia; Primates; Hominidae.